UACAGAGGAGCCAAGCGUUGUCCGGAUUGACUGGGCGUAAAGCGCACGCAGGCGGAUGUGCGCGUGGGGUGUGAAAUCUGGCCGCUUAACGGCCAGGCGCCAUCCCAUACGGCACGUCUGGAGGGCUGCAGAGGUCGAUGGAAUUGCCGGUGUAGUGGUGAAAUGCGUAGAGAUCGGGAGGAAUACCUAUGGCGAAAGCAGGCUUCUGGGCCAUCACUGACACUGAUCUGCGAAAGCUAGGGGAGCAAACAGG
RNAcentral lists this ribosomal RNA (253 nucleotides) under uncultured bacterium. RNAcentral describes it as "partial 16S ribosomal RNA". It matches the Rfam family "Bacterial small subunit ribosomal RNA", at positions 524 to 776 of the family's 1533-position model. The record is from RNAcentral.